GAUGAACGCUGGCGGCGUGCCUAAUACAUGCAAGUCGAGCGAACAGACGAGGAGCUUGCUCCUCUGACGUUAGCGGCGGACGGGUGAGUAACACGUGGAUAACCUACCUAUAAGACUGGGAUAACUUCGGGAAACCGGAGCUAAUACCGGAUAAUAUAUUGAACCGCAUGGUUCAAUAGUGAAAGACGGUUUUGCUGUCACUUAUAGAUGGAUCCGCGCCGCAUUAGCUAGUUGGUAAGGUAACGGCUUACCAAGGCAACGAUGCGUAGCCGACCUGAGAGGGUGAUCGGCACCACGGGAACUGAGAAACGGGCCAGCAUCAUACGGGAGGCAGCAGUAGGGAAUCGUCCGCAAUGGGCGAAAGCUUGACGGAGCAACGCCGCGUGAGUGAUGAAGGUCUUCGGAUCGUAAAACUCUGUUAUUAGGGAAGAACAAUGUGUAAGUAACUAUGCACGUCUUGACGGUACCUAAUCAGAAAGCCACGGCUAACUACGUG
Molecule: ribosomal RNA, 496 nt
Filed under: uncultured bacterium
Lineage: Bacteria
Description: partial 16S ribosomal RNA
Rfam family: Bacterial small subunit ribosomal RNA
Source: RNAcentral